RNAcentral lists this long non-coding RNA (294 nucleotides) under Neodiprion pinetum (white pine sawfly). Its description in RNAcentral is "uncharacterized LOC124215866". The record is from RNAcentral. Lineage: Eukaryota; Metazoa; Arthropoda; Insecta; Hymenoptera; Diprionidae.
UUAAGAAGGGCAAAAUAGAAUUUUAAUGGUCUUACCCCCCAAAUUGGUUCGAAGUAAUUAAAAAAAACGUCCGAAUUUUUAAAAAUUUUUCACUCCAUGUUUACCCGUGCCUAGGAAGCCUUACUUUUUCCCAUAAGAAAAGCAUUGGUUUUUCGGGAUUUUUAAUCGUUUUUUUACCGCUGCCGUAAUUAUCAGCUAAAAAAUCGCUAAUUCUCAGAAAAUGUUGACAGUUGUGUUACCUUUUAGUCCAAUUUUUUGGAAUUCGAUACAAGCAUUUUUGGGCUCGGAUUUUUU